This 305-nucleotide ribosomal RNA is filed under the name uncultured bacterium. RNAcentral describes it as "bacterial SSU rRNA". It matches the Rfam family "Bacterial small subunit ribosomal RNA", at positions 332 to 635 of the family's 1533-position model. The record is from RNAcentral.
CGGGCCUACGGGAGGCAGCAGUGAGGAAUAUUGGUCAAUGGGCGAGAGCCUGAACCAGCCAAGUCGCGUGAAGGAUGACGGCCCUACGGGUUGUAAACUUCUUUUGUCAGGGAGCAAUUGGGUCCACGCGUGGGCUUAGCGAGAGUACCUGAAGAAAAAGCAUCGGCUAACUCCGUGCCAGCAGCCGCGGUAAUACGGAAGGUCCGGGCGUUAUCCGGAUUUAUUGGGUUUGAAGGGAGCGUAGGCCGGUCUUUAAGCGUGCCGUGAAAUUUUGUGGCUCAACCAUGAGAGUGCGGCGCGAACUG